Molecule: long non-coding RNA, 781 nt
Organism: Magnolia sinica
Lineage: Eukaryota; Viridiplantae; Streptophyta; Magnoliopsida; Magnoliales; Magnoliaceae
Exons: 4
Source: RefSeq, a predicted model, not a curated record
CAAAGGUUUGGGAGCCUUCAUUUAGUUUUUCAGAGUUUUUCCACCGUCUUGACUGAGUUGUGAUCAAAUCAAGUUUUUAUGCAGAUUAGUCCCAAUGAAAUCUGAAACCAAGUAGCUCUUCAAGACAUUGCGUUGGAGACAAAGUGAAUGUUCUUUUCGAGCCUCUGUUUUUUGGUGAUGCUUUGGAAGAAUUGUUGAAGUUUUCAGCUUCCAACUGCUUCUUUAUUUCCAUUGGAAUAUCAAACUUUGAUCAUCAAUGUGGGAAUUCAACUGAGUCGACUUGCCUGUUAUAGGAUGCGGGUAGCAACAGACCGGUGCUCUUAUUAACCUCAGAACUUUCUACAUUGUGGGAAUUCCAACUAUUGUUCUCUUGGCUCUCGUCUUCCAUUUUGGAGGAAAGCAUGUCUGAACAAUAUGACAAUGCUGGAGCAAGUUCUAGCUUGAGCCUGAAUAGCAGCCUACAAGAUACGGAGGAUGACAGGAUUAUUGCCAAUAUCCUAUAAGAGGAACAUGUCAGAGAGGAUAUGAGACUUGGGAAGCAUCUAUCUCAUUUAGAUUCCAUCCUGGUAAGACCCAAGCUCAUACUUUCUUGUAAUGUUUCACAUACGCCUAUUUAAUGAAUUGCCCACUCUUACCUACUUCUUCUUCUUCUUCUUCUUCUUCUUCUUUUUAAAUGUCCCUUUGUGUGAGAAAGCUUUCGCUGUGACUUGUGAGUGGUUGUAAACAAGAGAAUGCCUGAAAAGUUUAUUUAUGCUUAGAAAAAUGAUGGUUAGAACAAGAA